AGGAAUUUAAGCGGCUUUUCUCCUAGACGCCCUCCUUCCCCCACCACCUCGAUUCCAUCCUUCCAAGAUCUUUGCCUUAAAAAAAUCCUCAAGAAGCAUGAGGAGGAGAAGAUUCAGUGGGCUUCUUUGGGGUUUUGUGUCUCUCUGACUCUGUCCAAGGGCAGUUUCAAGGAAAAAUACCAUCAAUUUUCGCCAACUGUGAUCAGAUCAAAAGUAGUCUCCGGCCAGCCAAGGCUGAACCUGCUCUGGACUUUCUACUUCUACUUCCCUAUUCUUCGCUUCCUGGGAAACUUGUCAGAACGGCAUGCAAGAGGAAGAUCAGCACUGCACUGGAGAAGCAUAUGUCGCAGUACAGAUAGUCCUCAACUUACAACAGUUCAUUUAGUGACCAUUCAUAGUUACAACGGCACUGUAAAAAGUGACUUACAAUCAUUUUUCACAUUUACCACCGUUGCAACAUCCCCAUGAUCACGUGAGCAAAAUUCAGACGCUUAGUAACUUACUCAUAUUUAUGUUGGUUGCGGUGUCCUGGGCUCAUGUGAUCACUUUUUUUACUUUCUGACAAGCAAUGUCAAUGGGGAAACCAGAUUCACUUAACAGCCACAUUACUAAUUUAACCACUGCAGUGACUCACUUAACAACGGUGUCAAGAAAGGUCAUAAAAUGGGGCAAAAUUCACUCAACGAUGUCUUGCUUUGCAACAAAAGUUUUGGGUCAUAUGUCAAGGACUACCUGUACUGGGCUGAAUUAGGCUAACCGCAUCUGGGGUGAAAAACCCUGGGCCAAUAGAGAGAGCUAAGAGUUACAGCCUACAUGUCAUUAUUUCUCCAACUUGGCAACUUUAAGAAGUAGAAAAUGUUUGUAGAUCAGGUUUUAGAUUUUGGCUGUGGUUUGUUCUCCAAG
Long non-coding RNA from Crotalus tigris (Tiger rattlesnake), 903 nucleotides. RefSeq lists it as uncharacterized. NCBI's taxonomy places the organism in Eukaryota, Metazoa, Chordata, Lepidosauria, Squamata, Viperidae. The transcript has 3 exons. The record is from RefSeq and is a predicted model, not a curated record.